This 1115-nucleotide ribosomal RNA is filed under the name uncultured organism. Its description in RNAcentral is "bacterial SSU rRNA". It matches the Rfam family "Bacterial small subunit ribosomal RNA", at positions 59 to 1198 of the family's 1533-position model. The record is from RNAcentral.
AAGUCGAACGUGAAGCCAGGUGCUUGCACCGGGUGGAAAGUGGCGAACGGGUGAGUAACACGUUGGUGACCUGCCCCGAGGAGGGGAAUAACCGUGGGAAACCACGGCUAAUGCCCCGGAUGUCACGGUGUUAGAGGCUGUGAACUAAAGUUCCGGCGCCUCGGGAGGGGCCUGCGGGCUAUCAGCUAGUUGGUGAGGUAACGGCUCACCAAGGCCAAGACGGCUAGGGGGCGUGAGAGCGUGGCCCCCCACAAUGGAACUGAGACACGGUCCAUACUCCUACGGGAGGCAGCAGUGAGGAAUAUUGCCCAAUGGGGGAAACCCUGAGGCAGCAACGCCGCGUGGAUGAAGAAGGCUUUCGGGUCGUAAAAGCCUCUUCUGAGGGAAGAAGGAUGACGGUACCUCAGGAAUAAGUUCCGGCUAACUACGUGCCAGCAGCCGCGGUAAAACGUAGGGGACAAGCGUUAUCCGGAUUUACUGGGCGUAAAGCGCGCGUAGGCGGCGCGGCAAGUUGGACGUGAAAGCUCCUGGCUUAACUGGGAGAGGUCGUUCAAAACUGCCGGGCUAGAGGAUGAGAGAGGAGAGCGGAAUUCCCGGUGUAGUGGUGGAAUGCGUAGAUAUCGGGAGGAACACCAGUGGCGAAGGCGGCUCUCUGGCUCAUCCCUGACGCUGAGGUGCGGAAGCGUGGGGAGCGAACGGGAUUAGAUACCCCGGGUAGUCCACGCUGUAAACGAUGGAUACUAGGUGUAGGAGGUUAUCAACCCCUUCUGUGCCGCAGCAAACGCGAUAAGUAUCCCGCCUGGGGACUACGGCCGCAAGGUUAAAACUCAAAGGAAUUGACGGGGGGCCCGCACAAGCAGCGGAGCGUGUGGUUUAAUUCGAUGAUACGCGAAGAACCUUACCUGGGUUUGACAUGCAGGUAGUAGGGAAGUGAAAGCGGACCGACCCUUCGGGGCGCCUGCACAGGUGCUGCAUGGCUGUCGUCAGCUCGUGUCGUGAGAUGUUGGGUUUAAGUCCCGCAACGAGCGCAACACCUGUCGUUAGUUACAAGUGUUCUAGCGAGACUGCCGGUAUCAAACCGGGAGGAAGGUGGGGAUGACGUCAAGUCAGCAUGG